RNAcentral lists this unclassified non-coding RNA (25 nucleotides) under Mus musculus (house mouse). Its description in RNAcentral is "oocyte_clustered_small_RNA7515". Lineage: Eukaryota; Metazoa; Chordata; Mammalia; Rodentia; Muridae. The record is from RNAcentral.
UAGUUUCUUCUUGGAGGUAUUCAGA